UCUUUUUUUUGGAGGUAGUGAGUAAGAAGCAAGUAUAUAGCCCAAGUAAGGAGUUCAAAUAUGGUAAGUUAGGUAUAGGUUAAAGUCACGGCCCAAAGGCCCAACACUCAAGUCAAUGGGCUCCAAAAUGGGUAACAACGUAAAGCCCUCCAAGUAAAGGUGAAACGGGCCACGAGCGACACUAUUAAAUUAGGUCACUUCUAGUGGUCCAUAUAAUUUGAGGUUGGAUCAUUCUAAUAGUGGCGUUGACAUUUCGUUCGACCAUUUGGUUCAAGCCGACUGAUAACAAAAAACCGAUUUUACAUUAUAGUUCGGGGAGUUAUUGGAUAUCAAAACCCAACAAUCUCCACCUUGAUGCCCAAUAACCUGCAAGCAAUCAAAAAACACACAGUUUAUACUUGCAAAAUCAAGGUAAUCCAGUAAAAUUGGGCUCACAGACCUUACCUCGUGUUUCCAACCUGAAACACACACCAUACCUACUCCGUAUACUCAUCAGAGCUAAGAUCAAGAACACUCAGAUAAAAACAAGUACUUACAGUGAACAACUAAUCAUGUGAUAAAGAUAUUAUAUAGGAUACCUCACACAGAUCUUUUCAAAUUUACGUUCACAUAGAAUUAAAGAUUAACACUAAGUUAAUCAGCACACGAUCAAACACAUAUGCAACAAAUACAUAAAUGAUCUCACGAAAGAUCUCACCACACUUUGCUUAUUCAAUUUCGUGUUACUCCCACCUCGAGAACACAUAUCUCCUCUCAUCGCCCACUAUAUUUACUAAAUAGAUCACUCAACUCAUGUCAAAAUGGCAAGUCACAAUAGAUCCUAAGUUCUAGGGAUAAUCCUUUAUCACCACAUCACUUCUCUCAACCUACGUGGAUAAUAGGACUCCACCUUACAGAAGUGAUAGAAGUGCCUCUCUCGCACUCCACCUGUACAGGGUCUCUUUCACAGAUAAAUGAUUCUACACACUUGAUCAUAUCUCCACUCGUGAUGUAAAUGUCACACUCCACAUCCCUUAGUACAAAUCACCAUGUACCCCUAGGCAUCUAUACUCCACCUUACCAAAAGACAUCUAACACACUGCUAAUGUAUCCUAACCCACUAUGCAUGCAAACGAUCACACCAAGUAAUGACCUCAAAUUCAUGCAAAUACACAUAUAAGACAAAUUGAAAUGCAACAUAUAGUCAUGCAACAAAUUAGGCAAUCACGUACAUGCUGAAAGGAUCACACACAGAUACAUAUGCAGUGACUAGGUUUACUCUCUCAAUAAACCUCGCUGGGGUCAUAACUCGACCCCUCAACCACAUUUGUCUCACCUCUCACAUCUCAUCCCUCACAUAACCCUUAUGCUUAUCCUUCUUCUUGGGAUAAUCCCUAAUAAAGUGUCCAGACUUACCACAACUAUAACAUCGUCUACCACUAGACUUGCCCCAUUUCUUGCCCUUCAUCUUACCACUUUCAUCACUCGAAUCACUACUCGAAUCACCACUAUUUUGAGCUCUAUCCAAAUUUAUUUUCUUAAACUUCAUCCCACUCCUUAUCAUGUGUAACUUACCAAUCCUCUUAUCUUCAUUUUCAACCUUCAUUUCCAUCUCCUUACUCCUAAGUGAGUCUAUGACAAUCUCGAGAGUCAAUGUAUCCCUACCAUACUUAAUGACAUUUUUAACUUCCUUAUAUGACUCAGGCAUAGAAUUAAGUAAGAUUAUAGUCUUGUAGGUUUCAGAUAUGGUUUCUUCAUAGUUAACAAUAUCUUGGACAAAUUUAUUGAAAACAUCUAAACUGUCAUCAAGAUCUUUUGAAGGAUCCAUUUUAAAAUUGAAGAAACGCGCAAGAAGAUAAAGUUUAUUAAGAAUGGAUUUAAGCAAAUAUAGAUCUUCCAACUUUUUCCAAAGAUCUUUUGUGGUUUUCAAUUUUCCUACUUUUCUCAAAACAGCGUCAGACAGAUAUAAAAUGAUUGAGGUAUAAGCAAGUUCAUUGAUUUCUUCUUUUUGUUCUUUUGAAAAAUUAGUUGGAAAAUUGCCUUCAAUGACUUUUGAAACCUUUUGUUGGACUAAAAUGCCUUUCAUUUUUUGUUGCCAGAUUGAAAAAUCACCUUUUCCAUUAAAAAUACCAACUUCGAAAUGCGAAGAUAUUUUGAAAAAACGAAGCAAUCAAUUGGGCAAAUAGAUCAUACAAAGUAAUGCUACGGCCGCAAUAUACACCGUUCUAGAUUUUCAGGGUUUUGUAAGACUCGCGAUCUUAGAUCAAGGGAACGUUCAAACGGGUAAAGUCUAAGUAUUCUAACGGAAGUAACAACACAGCGGAAUUUACGAUGCAACAAAAUUGAUAUAUCUAAUCAAACGAAAUUUCAUGACAAUUUUAGCACAAAGCACAAUACGCUAAUUUAUCCAAAAAUAAGUACUCAAUCGCAACAAUUAAGAGCAAGUAAUCCUAAUUUUUAGCACAAGCAAUGGCUGUCGAGCAAUGACAACCCCCAACCUAUUGUCACCCCACACGGUGACGUGCUAAUGCUGAAAUUAACAGGUUAAGCCAAUUUACCAUAGUGGACGUGUCUGAGUCCGUAUAAUCGAGAGAGAUACGAAUCUACUAAUUUAGGACAACCACUAUUCAUCCUAAAGAUUCAGUAAAUAUAACUGUGCAGCUACCUGAAGACAGCUUAUCCAGAAACGAUCGCACGCGCCGUCAUCGGAACACCCACACGCCGUCGCUGUCGUCACCCAGACGCGCCGACCACCCAGCACCACCUCCACCUACAGAUCAUGAAUUCGACCUUCGUUUCACCAAAAGACGUCUGGAUUCGCCGAAAAUUGAAGUUGCAGAUCCGAUUUUUGGGAAAAAAUUCUGGACAGUUUUAUUUUUCUGAUUUCUACUGGUUUUCUCAUCGGAUUUUGCCCAGAAAUUCCACCCCAACCUCGCUCUGAUACCAAAUGUUGAAUAAUCGGCCUCCAAUUGGUGGAUUUUCUGGGCUCAGUUUCACCAAUGUCAACACCAUAAUCGAACUCAAACCUAAUCGACCAAAACGGUUUCUUCCCUUCACGGUUGCUUUACUUGCCCAUAAAGAGCUCAGCAAGAUGUACUAUUCCACACAGGAAAUGAUCACAAAGUAAUCACAGGUGAAGAACAACCGAAAUAGACAGAAGAGAAAACGGGAAGAAGACUCCAAUUGCACACACGGGUCUUUUUUUUGGAGGCAGUGAGUAAGAAGCAAGCAUAUAGCCCAAGUAAGGAGUCCAAAUAUGGAAAGUUAGGUAUAGGUUAAAGUCACGGCCCAAAGGCCCAACACUCAAGUCAAUGGGCUCCAAAAUGGGUAACAACAUAAAGCCCUCCAAGUAAAGGUGAAACGAGCCACGAGCGACACUAUUAAAUUAGGUCACUUCUAGUGGUCCAUACAAUUUGGGGUUGGGUCGUUCUAAUAGUGGCGUUGACAUUUCGUUCAGCCAUUUGGUCCAAGCCGACUGAUAACAAAAAAUCGAUUUUACAUCAUAGCUCGGGGAGUUAUUGGGUAUCAAAACCCAACACUCUCUCCCUUCCCCAUGCAAAAAGGAAAAAGAUAAACUAGGAAGCUGGCAGUUAAAAACGGAAGAAAACUGAAGUGAAAGAACUGAACAUUUGACAUCAUAUAUGGUACUCAGUUUUCGUUUGUCGUUUUAUAACACUCAAAUUUUUGGCAUUUUUCAG
RNAcentral lists this long non-coding RNA (3677 nucleotides) under Olea europaea (common olive). Its description in RNAcentral is "long non-coding RNA (OEUR_LNC003952)". The record is from RNAcentral. Lineage: Eukaryota; Viridiplantae; Streptophyta; Magnoliopsida; Lamiales; Oleaceae.